Long non-coding RNA from Oncorhynchus mykiss (rainbow trout), 358 nucleotides. Lineage: Eukaryota; Metazoa; Chordata; Actinopteri; Salmoniformes; Salmonidae. The record is from Ensembl.
CGCAGCCGUGCACGACACGCUCGCUGCUGGCUAGAAGGGAGCCAUGAAGAGGAGCUUGGAGUAGGCAAGGGAGAGGCUGAUAAAGCAGUAGAGAAGACCUGAUUCAUCAAGUAUCACAGUUAAUUCUGGUGAUUCUGACCUGGUUGGAAUGCGCAACACGGCAAGGCACUUCAAUCCGACACUCUUGUUAAUGUUUGACGUCAGGCAAAACGUCUUCAGCCACCGUAGGAUGGAGAGCCGCUGGUUGGCAUUUUUGACAGCGGUGUCUGUGUGGGUGUACCAGGAAAGGACGUUAGAAGUUAGGUCCCCAUGAUAUCAAAGCUUCUUACCAUCUUCACUGCACCCCGUCGAUAUCGAU